UCAGGAUUAAAACCACCACUAUCACCACCACCACCACCACAAUCAUCAUCAUUGUGUGUGUGUGUGUUGUGGUGUGUGUUGGCUUGUGCACCACCUCGCCACACCGCGCCACAGCUUGCCACAGCUCACCACAGCACACUACACGACUUAGUGCCUGACAAACUAUUCCUGUAUUUUGGAAGAAUUGAGAUUGACGGCAGGCUUGACACCACCUCGGCCCACCCCAGCCCACCUCAGCCCACCCCAGCCCACCCCAGCCCACCCCAGCCCACCUCGGCCCACCUGGUCUGAGCCGAGCCAAGAUGAUACACGUAUUUCUUGUCGACACUGGGACCAUGUUGACAUUUGAGAUGAACUUAGCACUUGAGAGUGUUGAAGUCUUGAAAGGAGCGAUACACAAUGCUGUCAGAGUUCCGCCAGAGAAGCAGGUACUGCUGGCCUCAGGUGGCGAGACACUAGACUCCUGCCAAAGGGUGUGUCAUUACUCAGCUGGCACCGACACAUCGCCAAUCUUCCUCUUCUCAAAAGUUGCCAUAGAGGGUGCAGCUCCGCCAACUCCCUCUGUGAAACCUGGCAGUGAUGGUGAUCUUCGGGUGAGUUCUCUUCACAAAA
Molecule: long non-coding RNA, 612 nt
Organism: Portunus trituberculatus (swimming crab)
Lineage: Eukaryota; Metazoa; Arthropoda; Malacostraca; Decapoda; Portunidae
Exons: 4
Source: RefSeq, a predicted model, not a curated record